Long non-coding RNA from Nycticebus coucang (slow loris), 1068 nucleotides. RefSeq lists it as uncharacterized. The transcript has 3 exons. Lineage: Eukaryota; Metazoa; Chordata; Mammalia; Primates; Lorisidae. The record is from RefSeq and is a predicted model, not a curated record.
AGGGAUUUCAGCCAUGACCAGGAACAUCCCUCAAACAGCCUGAAAUACCUGAUAAAGCACAAAGCUGCCACCAUCUGGUGGAAGAUCCUUGUUCCCGCUCCACUCUCCAAUGAAGAGAUGUUGGAGCAGCUCGCUUGUGACCCUGUUGUUGGUUUCUUGAAAGAAGGGUCCAGCAACUAUCCACCAUCUGGCUAACCAUUGGAUUACUUAUUUGAGAGGCUUCCAGUUAAAAGUGAUUUCGGAGUUGGUCUUCAAGCCUCCAGCAAUCUCAGCCAUCGAAUCUGCCCACCCCACCUGCAAUUCCCAGUUGAUUCUCCUCUGAGCUCACACUGGAUUUAGGACAUUAUAAUCUCUUGAACUAUCUUUAAGUGAUUAAUACGCUUGUCUGCCUGCCCACCUGGACUGAAAGCCUAGGAAAUAACAUAGAGCUACUUGGGUGUAUAUCCCUAGUGUCCAGCACAGCCUCUGGCACGUGGAAAGGGCUGAAAUAUUUUUCAUAAAUGGAACUAUUAAUGGCAAGAGUCUUUUCUCCCAACAAAAUCCUAAAUUACAAUGCAAUUUAUGCAAUGCGUGUCUGUCCGCUCAGUUGUCUGCUCCUGACCUUCAGAAAUGAUUUACACAGUGGGGGUGAAGUGAAAGCAUGGAGAGGCUCGCAAUUGCAAAGGUCUAUUCAGCUCACCCUCAAGGUAACUUUCAACUACCCCGGCGGAGGAGGCUCUUGAAAACGGAAGUGGUCUCCUCCGCCCUCUAGUGGUGGCUACGUUGCAGAACAGUUUUAAAGACGACCUUUGGGAAUUAAUACACUCUUGUCAAAGUUCUUUGGAAGACUACUGGAAUGCCAGUGUGUGUAUGAGCUGAUUAUUUCAGCUUUUUGUUGCUGUUUUAUAGAGAACAUUUGGAGUCCUUUGGUCAAGAGUCUGUAGUCAGAAUCGGCAGGAACAUCUCCCCAGAAGGUGGUUUGUGUGUCGAAGAACAGAGUCCUCACCACUCUAAUUCUUGGGGGGUGGUGGGGGUGGGUCCUGGCAGCAUCCCACAGGCCACUUGAAAUGUUUUCUUUCAUUCCCUAGA